UACGGAGGAUCCGAGCGUUAUCCGGAUUUACUGGGUGUAAAGGGAGCGCAGACGGCAGCGCAAGUCUGAUGUGAAAUCCCGGGGCUCAACCCCGGAACUGCAUUGGAAACUGCGCAGCUCGAGUAUCGGAGAGGUAAGCGGAAUUCCUAGUGUAGCGGUGAAAUGCUCAGAUAUUAGGAAGAACACCAGUGGCGAAGGCGGCUUCCUGGCACAAUACUGACGCUCAUGUGCGAAAGUGUGGGGAGCAAACAGGAUUA
RNAcentral lists this ribosomal RNA (257 nucleotides) under uncultured prokaryote. RNAcentral describes it as "partial 16S ribosomal RNA". It matches the Rfam family "Bacterial small subunit ribosomal RNA", at positions 524 to 780 of the family's 1533-position model. The record is from RNAcentral.